This 503-nucleotide ribosomal RNA is filed under the name uncultured bacterium. RNAcentral describes it as "partial 16S ribosomal RNA". It matches the Rfam family "Bacterial small subunit ribosomal RNA", at positions 30 to 523 of the family's 1533-position model. The record is from RNAcentral.
AUUGAACGCUGGCGGCAGGCCUAACACAUGCAAGUCGAACGGUAGCACAGAGAGCUUGCUCUCGGGUGACGAGUGGCGGACGGGUGAGUAAUGUCUGGGAAACUGCCUGAUGGAGGGGGAUAACUACUGGAAACGGUAGCUAAUACCGCAUAACGUCGCAAGACCAAAGUGGGGGACCUUCGGGCCUCACACCAUCGGAUGUGCCCAGAUGGAUUAGCUAGUAGGUGGGGUAAUGGCUCACCUAGGCGACGAUCCCUAGCUGGUCUGAGAGGAUGACCAGCCACACUGGAACUGAGCCACGGUCCAGACUCCUACGGGAGGCAGCAGUGGGGAAUAUUGCACAAUGGGCGCAAGCCUGAUGCAGCCAUGCCGCGUGUAUGAAGAAGGCCUUCGGGUUGUAAAGUACUUUCAGCGGGGAGGAAGGCGGUGAAGUUAAUAGCUUCACCGAUUGACGUUACCCGCAGAAGAAGCACCGGCUAACUCCGUGCCAGCCGCCGCAGUAA